GGCCUUGACAUACUAAGAACUUUCCAGAGAUGGAUUGGUGCCUUCGGGAACUUAGAUACAGGUGCUGCAUGGCUGUCGUCAGCUCGUGUCGUGAGAUGUUGGGUUAAGUCCCGCAACGAGCGCAACCCUUUUCCUUAUUUGCCAGCGGGUCAUGCCGGGAACUUUAAGGAUACUGCCAGUGACAAACUGGAGGAAGGCGGGGACGACGUCAAGUCAUCAUGGCCCUUACGGCCAGGGCUACACACGUGCUACAAUGGUCGGUACAAAGGGUUGCUACCUCGCGAGAGGAUGCUAAUCUCAAAAAGCCGAUCGUAGUCCGGAUCGCAGUCUGCAACUCGACUGCGUGAAGUCGGAAUCGCUAGUAAUCGCGGAUCAGAAUGCCGCGGUGAAUACGUUCCCGGGCCUUGUACACACCGCCCGUCACACCAUGGGAGUUUGUUGCACCAGAAGUAGGUAGUCUAACCGCAAGGAGGACGCCUACCACGGUGUGGCCGAUGACUGGGGUGAAGUCGUAACAAGGUAGGCGUAGAUGA
RNAcentral lists this ribosomal RNA (533 nucleotides) under uncultured bacterium. Its description in RNAcentral is "bacterial SSU rRNA". It matches the Rfam family "Bacterial small subunit ribosomal RNA", at positions 977 to 1509 of the family's 1533-position model. The record is from RNAcentral.